CAGCAGCCACGGUAAUACGAAGGGGGCUAGCGUUGCUCGGAAUGACUGGGCGUAAAGGGCGCGUAGGCGGAUUGUUUAGUUAGGCGUGAAAUUCCUUGGCUUAACCUGGGGACUGCGCUUAAUACAGGCAGUCUAGAGUGAGGAAGAGGGUUGUGGAAUUCCCAGUGUAGAGGUGAAAUUCGUAGAUAUUGGGAAGAACACCGGUGGCGAAGGCGGCGACCUGGUCCUUUACCGACGCUGAGGCGCGAAAGCGUGGGGAGCAAACAGGAUUAGAUACCCCAGUAGUCCCUGUCUCUUAUAC
This 301-nucleotide ribosomal RNA is filed under the name uncultured bacterium. RNAcentral describes it as "partial 16S ribosomal RNA". It matches the Rfam family "Bacterial small subunit ribosomal RNA", at positions 509 to 807 of the family's 1533-position model. The record is from RNAcentral.